RNAcentral lists this ribosomal RNA (253 nucleotides) under uncultured bacterium. Its description in RNAcentral is "partial 16S ribosomal RNA". It matches the Rfam family "Bacterial small subunit ribosomal RNA", at positions 524 to 776 of the family's 1533-position model. The record is from RNAcentral.
UACGUAGGGGGCAAGCGUUAUCCGGAUUUACUGGGUGUAAAGGGAGCGUAGACGGUUGUAUAAGUCUGGAGUGAAAGCCCGGGGCCCAACCCCGGGACUGCUUUGGAAACUGUGUAACUUGAGUACAGGAGGGGCAGGCGGAAUUCCUGGUGUAGCGGUGAAAUGCGUAGAUAUCAGGAGGAACACCGGCGGCGAAGGCGGCCUGCUGGACUGAAACUGACGUUGAGGCUCGAAAGCGUGGGGAGCAAACAGG